UUGGGCGUAAGAGCUUGUAGGCGGUUUGUUGCGUCUGCUGUGAAAGACCGGGGCUUAACCCCGGUAUUGCAGUGGGUACGGGCAGACUAGAGUGCAGUAGGGGAGACUGGAAUUCCUGGUGUAGCGGUGAAAUGCGCAGAUAUCAGGAGGAACACCGAUGGCGAAGGCAGGUCUCUGGGCUGUAACUGACGCUGAGAAGCGAAAGCAUGGGGAGCGAACAGGAUUAGAUACCCUGGUAGUCCAUGCCGUAAACGUUGGGCACUAGGUGUGGGGGACAUUCCACGUUUUCCGCGCCGUAGCUAACGCAUUAAGUGCCCCGCCUGGGGAGUACGGCCGCAAGGCUAAAACUCAAAGGAAUUGACGGGGGCCCGCACAAGCGGCGGAGCAUGCGGAUUAAUUCGAUGCAACGCGAAGAACCUUACCAAGGCUUGACAUAUACUGGAUCGCCUCAGAGAUGGGGUUUCCCUUCGGGGCUGGUAUACAGGUGGUGCAUGGUUGUCGUCAGCUCGUGUCGUGAGAUGUUGGGUUAAGUCCCGCAACGAGCGCAACCCUCGUUCUAUGUUGCCAGCACGUUAUGGUGGGGACUCAUAGGAGACUGCCGGGGUCAACUCGGAGGAAGGUGGGGAUGACGUCAAAUCAUCAUGCCCCUUAUGUCUUGGGCUUCACGCAUGCUACAAUGGCCGGUACAAAGGGUUGCGAUACUGUGAGGUUGAGCUAAUCCCAAAAAGCCGGUCUCAGUUCGGAUUGGGGUCUGCAACUCGACCCCAUGAAGUCGGAGUCGCUAGUAAUCGCAGAUCAGCAACGCUGCGGUGAAUACGUUCCCGGGCCUUGUACACACCGCCCGUCAAGUCACGAAAGUUGGUAACACCCGAAGCCGAU
Molecule: ribosomal RNA, 879 nt
Filed under: Rothia amarae
Lineage: Bacteria; Bacillati; Actinomycetota; Actinomycetes; Micrococcales; Micrococcaceae
Description: bacterial SSU rRNA
Rfam family: Bacterial small subunit ribosomal RNA
Source: RNAcentral